This 468-nucleotide ribosomal RNA is filed under the name uncultured bacterium. RNAcentral's name for it is "partial 16S ribosomal RNA". It matches the Rfam family "Bacterial small subunit ribosomal RNA", at positions 28 to 507 of the family's 1533-position model. The record is from RNAcentral.
GACGAACGCUGGCGGCGUGCUUAACACAUGCAAGUCGAACGGAAAGGCCCUGCUUUUGUGGGGUGCUCGAGUGGCGAACGGGUGAGUAACACGUGAGUAACCUGCCCUUGACUUUGGGAUAACUUCAGGAAACUGGGGCUAAUACCGGAUAGGAGCUCCUGCUGCAUGGUGGGGGUUGGAAAGUUUCGGCGGUUGGGGAUGGACUCGCGGCUUAUCAGCUUGUUGGUGGGGUAGUGGCUUACCAAGGCUUUGACGGGUAGCCGGCCUGAGAGGGUGACCGGCCUCAUUGGGACUGAGAUACGGCCCAGACUCCUACGGGGGGCAGCAGUGGGGAAUAUUGCACAAUGGGCGGAAGCCUGAUGCAGCAACGCCGCGUGCGGGAUGACGGCCUUCGGGUUGUAAACCGCUUUCGCCUGUGACGAAGCGUGAGUGACGGUAAUGGGUAAAGAAGCACCGGCUAACUACGUG